UAAUACUCCCAAAUUCCAGAUCGAAGCACAUCCACUCCGCCCUAUUUUCUACUCUAAUAAUUCCCUCACAUAUCCUAACUACAAUCCCACCAGGUAAGGUUUUGUUUUUUUCAAUUAUUGUUGGGAUAUUUAAGUUCUUGGUGAUGUAGUAGUUUUUCAAUCUUUUCUUUUGUAGAAUUUUUUGUAGUGUGCUCUUGUAUGCUAGUGGGUUUGUUGAGUUUGUGUAGAUGUAUCUCUUAAAAUAUAUGGGUGACAUUUGGGAAAUUGUGGUGGAGUUUGUCUUAUAAAUUUGUUAAUUAGGGACUCCAGUGAAUGGUGCAUAUAAAGUGUUUGUUAAUAUACCGCAGUGAGUUGUUAAUGUUAAUUGUGACCAAUUAUGUGGAUGAAGUCUGAGUAACUGCAUUUGGUUCACAUAUUUUAUAUUUCACUGAUGAUGUUCUUUAUUUCAGGUAGUAUGACACAUUCCAAGAAACGUCGAACCAUCGGUGCUUCAUCCAGUCGUCAAGCUAGUUCCUUCAGAGCACGUGAUUCAACUCAUGCUCGCCCUUAUGAUAGUACCAAGUUUGUAUCCGCCGCAACUCAGGACCAUUUUGCUGAUAAUGCACCACAAAAACCAAUACCG
RNAcentral lists this long non-coding RNA (622 nucleotides) under Nicotiana benthamiana. RNAcentral describes it as "long non-coding RNA (NBEN_LNC033414)". Lineage: Eukaryota; Viridiplantae; Streptophyta; Magnoliopsida; Solanales; Solanaceae. The record is from RNAcentral.